RNAcentral lists this ribosomal RNA (315 nucleotides) under uncultured eukaryote. RNAcentral's name for it is "partial 18S ribosomal RNA". It matches the Rfam family "Eukaryotic small subunit ribosomal RNA", at positions 1470 to 1796 of the family's 1831-position model. The record is from RNAcentral.
CCCUUAGAUGUUCUGGGCUGCACGCGCGCUACACUGACGCACGCAACAGGUGCCUGCUCCGAGAGGACUGGGUAAUCAUUUGAGUGUGCGUCGUGAUGGGGAUAGAAUAUUGUAAUUAUUACUCUUCAACGAGGAAUUCCUAGUAAGCGCCAGUCAGCAGCUUGCGCUGAUUACGUCCCUGCCCUUUGUACACACCGCCCGUCGCUCCUACCGAUGGGUGAUCCGGUGAAUGAUUCGGACUUCAGCGGCUCCCCUGGGGUGCGCCGGAGAAAGUUUUGUGAACCUUAUCACUUGGAGGCAGGAGAAGUCGUAACA